Molecule: ribosomal RNA, 373 nt
Filed under: uncultured organism
Description: bacterial SSU rRNA
Rfam family: Bacterial small subunit ribosomal RNA
Source: RNAcentral
CGUAGGUGGCGAGCGUUGUCCGGAAUUAUUGGGCGUAAAGGGCGCGUAGGCGGUCAUUUAAGUCAGGUGUGAAAGCCCCCGGCUCAACUGGGGAGGGUCACUUGAUACUGAAUGGCUAGAGUGCGGGAGAGGGGAAGUGGAAUUCCAUGUGUAGCGGUGAAAUGCGUAGAUAUAUGGAGGAACACCAGUGGCGAAGGCGGCUUCCUGGACCGUAACUGACGCUGAGGCGCGAAAGCUGGGGGAGUGAACGGGAUUAGAUACCCCGGUAAUCCCAGCCGUAAACGAUGGAUGCUAGGUGUAGAGGGUAUCGACCCCUUCUGUGCCGCAGUUAACACAAUAAGCAUCCCGCCUGGGGAGUACGGCCGCAAGGUUG